UCAAAACAGAAAACACAAACGCAAACCACCUGCACCCUAAUCUUCCAAAGCGAGUAACAUGGACUUUAAAAUUCUUUCAAACCAUUCGGAGUGGGUUCUCAUCAAAAGGGAGAAGAAUCGAAAGCUAAGCGGGCGUCUAAAACUGAGUCUGUGUGAAAAAAUAAACAGGCACACACUAAUCAACAAACAAGCUUUCAACCGAAAUGAAAUUGUUUAUCAACAAACUGUACAAAUGCUGCCUACAACAAAGUUCAAAGGGUAUGAACCUACCCUAAUCAAAAAUUUCCCCAUAAGACAUCAAAUAUCAAUGUCAAUGUCAAUGAUUUUACAGUUAUUAUCCUAGAUUCUGAAUCAAUGUCUUCCACAUAUUAACCUAAAGUAUGGAAAAUGGGGACGCGAUUAACUGCUAAGAUUGGUAAACUACACAAUAGAAACGAAUUAAGGUAACUCCUCUAAUCCAGAGACUUCUGAACUUACGCUACUCGCAAGUCUGUUUCUCCAAUCCCUUUGAUUUUCCUUCUAUGUACUGUACAUGGUAAUUUUAACUGUAUGUAUUUACGGCUAGAAUCGCUGCCUACUUGUGCUGCUANNNNN
Molecule: long non-coding RNA, 594 nt
Filed under: Olea europaea (common olive)
Lineage: Eukaryota; Viridiplantae; Streptophyta; Magnoliopsida; Lamiales; Oleaceae
Description: long non-coding RNA (OEUR_LNC009132)
Source: RNAcentral